GCGCCUACGGGAGGCAGCAGUGAGGAAUAUCGGUCAAUGGCCGGAAGGCUGAACCAGCCAAGUCGCGUGAGGGAAUAAGGCCCUAUGGGUCGUAAACCUCUUUUGUCAGGGAGCAAAGGCGUCCACGAGUGGACGAAAGGAGAGUACCUGAAGAAAAAGCAUCGGCUACCUCCGUGCCAGCAGCCGCGGUAAUACGGAGGAUGCGAGCGUUAUCCGGUUUUAUUGGGUUUAAAGGGUGCGUAGGCGGAGUGUCAAGUCAGCGGUAAAAUUUCGGGGCUCAACCCCGUCGUGCCGUGGAAACUGAC
This 305-nucleotide ribosomal RNA is filed under the name uncultured bacterium. RNAcentral describes it as "bacterial SSU rRNA". It matches the Rfam family "Bacterial small subunit ribosomal RNA", at positions 335 to 637 of the family's 1533-position model. The record is from RNAcentral.